This 266-nucleotide ribosomal RNA is filed under the name uncultured Bacillus sp. RNAcentral's name for it is "partial 16S ribosomal RNA". It matches the Rfam family "Bacterial small subunit ribosomal RNA", at positions 1114 to 1382 of the family's 1533-position model. Lineage: Bacteria; Bacillati; Bacillota; Bacilli; Caryophanales; Bacillaceae. The record is from RNAcentral.
GUUGCUAACGCGUGAAGGCGAGCACUCUAGACGAACUGCCGUUGACAAAACGGAGGAAGUGGGAUGACGUCAAUCAUCAUGCCCCUUAUGUUCUGGGCUACACACGUGCUACAAUGGCCGGUACAGACGGACGCAAAGCCGCGAGGUGGAGCAAAUCCUAAAAAGCCGGUCUCAGUUCGGAUUGCAGGCUGCAAUUCGCCUGCAUGAAGUCGGAAUCGCUAGUAAUCGCAGGUCAGCAUACUGCGGUGAAUACGUUCCCGGGCCUU